Molecule: ribosomal RNA, 429 nt
Filed under: Verrucomicrobiota bacterium
Lineage: Bacteria; Pseudomonadati; Verrucomicrobiota
Description: Verrucomicrobia bacterium partial 16S ribosomal RNA
Rfam family: Bacterial small subunit ribosomal RNA
Source: RNAcentral
UGGGGAAUCUUCCGCAAUGGACGAAAGUCUGACGGAGCAACGCCGCGCGAGUGAAGACGGCCUUCGGGUUGUAAAGCUCUGUGAUUCGGGACGAAAGGCCAUAUGUGAAUAAUAUAUGGAAAUGACGGUACCAUAGAAGAAAGCCCCGGCUAAUUACGUGCCAGCAGCCGCGGUAAUACGUAAGGGGCGAGCGUUGUCCGGAAUUAUUGGGCGUAAAGAGUGCGUAGGCGGCAAAUUAAGUCAGAUGUGAAAACUAAGGGCUCAACCCAUAGAUUGCAUCUGAAACUGAUAUGCUUGAGUCAAGGAGAGGAAAGUGGAAUUCCUAGUGUAGCGGUGGAAUGCGUAGAUAUUAGGAGGAAUACCGGUGGCGAAGGCGACUUUCUGGACUUGAACUGACGCUGAGGCACGAAAGCGUGGGGAGCAAACAGG